UAUUAUCUCCUCUUGUUAUGUUGUUUAUGUUAGUUAUGAUGUUUUGUUGAAGGAAAGAAAUGCUUGUAAAGAAAAUGUUUAUGUAAAUUGUUGUUGAAGAAAAUAAUGUGUAGUUGCUCGCUCGAGUUGGUUAAUUUACCCAACCUUAGAAGUAAGUUUAUUUACAUCCUAGAUAAGACAAAACUGUAAUAAAGUUAUUAUAUUAUAGAAUAUGUUGCGAGUUCAUGACAUCAAAAAAAAAAAUUUUGUUGUUCUGUUUUUGUGCCCUAAAGCUUGGGCACGACAUAUCCUUGGCAACAUAUAUUUCCUUUUUAUACGGCUUGGCUUCCACAUCUCUUACCUCAGGAAACCCAGGCCUGAAAGCUCUUGGAAUUAAACCAUAAUAAUAUCCUCUAUCUCACAACUCUUUAGCCCAGAGGGAAAGAAUUGUAAUCCUUUAUGAAAAUUAUUGAAACCAUUAGUUGCUGAAACAUAUGAACACAAGGUAGUGAAAACAAGUAGUGGAAUUAUAGGUACAUAACUUGUUUCCAUUGUAACUAAAUCUGAAUCUAUAAUUAUAUUAUUAGACUGUGAUCAUUAAUCUGAAUCUAUGACUAUAAUAUCAGACUCUGAUUAUUUAUAUAGACUUAAACUAAAGUCAUAAGACUUCCUAACACAAUGCAUGCGUAAGCUAUUAACUACCACAUGAGGGCAGUUAGUGUGAAAUCAAAUUCUAGCACAUUCCACUCAUAGAUCUAUAGCUGGUUUGUCUUCUUUGUUGUUGGUGGAUUCAUAGUCAUUUCCUGCUUGUGUGUCACUGUUCAUUUUCAAUCCCAUGGGAAUUUUUUUAUCACUGUCACUGCUUCCUUGCUUCUUUGCACUUAAAAGAAUUAUGUCUUACUAGAGAUCUCAAACCAGUAUACUUGUAGUGUUUCUUUUCAGGAUUUCUAUAUCAAGGGUCUUUGUCGCUCACUAAAAUUGAACAAACACUAUAUAACAGCUCUUAUAGGACCAUAUCACUGUUACUUAAAAUUGUACUCAUUUUUAAUACAUUCCUGAUGACUGUGGUUAUUCAUAUCUUUUUCGUGUUUUCUUGCACCUCUUCAAGACUGUCACACAGUCAUGAUGCCUUCAGAACACAAUGAUGUUGCCCUUUCUAAUCUCUUAGGGUCUUGUUGCUCUGUCAUGCUACACGUUAGUAAUCCUUUAGAAAGUAAGGUUCAUCUUUCCUUUUCGUCCACCAUCUUUGACCAAUGCUCCUACUCACUUUGUACUGCUCAUACUAACUUCAAUAUCUCUGUCCAAGUUGGGUGUAUACCUCCAUGAUGGCUAAGAGAUCUAGGUAUUCAUGUAUCAUGUUUUGACAAUAGAUUGUGAUGUGCCUUCUUUAAAAUGUCACUGAUCAUUUUGGUCUAUCCUAGAGAUUAUCAUGUAUGCUUUAUCAAUCUUUGACGAGGCCUUUUUCUUUACACAAGCUGCACAAAUGAUUAUUUCAUCAUUGUUUGAACAGUAAAACUUGAAAAGAAUGAUCAUGACUACUGUAUCUUUUUUUGGGCAUCAUGACUACUACAAAAUGAUUUAUUUGACCCUUAAUGAUGCAACCGUGUGACUCGUGUGACUACACAGCCCUAAAAGUAUGGUUUUAAACUACAGACUUCACUGAAAAAUCAACUUCAAUAUUAUGUUAUGUGUGCCUUCAUUUCUUUUCAUUCCCAAAUGAAUUAUCUUCGAAUCCAUGUUGCUCAUAGCUUCUUAUUAUGGGACUACCCAUGUUUUAAAUUAUUGACUGUCAUUGCUUUUGAGAAUUCUCUUGACUCAUAAUGCUUCUUGUUGACACCAUAAAACUCUGUCUUCAUUCUCUGUUCUCUGUAGAUUAUCAUGAUGAUUGUCCUUUGACCUAUGGACUGCAAAAAACCCUUGGAUGUCAUUUACUGUUAUUGUACAUACAGCUUUAUGACUGGAACCAUUGAUUGCAUGAUAUUCUGGUUAUCAAGAGAUGCUCAAAUCUUGUCUUUGCUCACAUCAAUAAUCUUUGGUGCACUAUGGAUGAUCUUUUGAUAACUGAUUACUCUCUUUGUAUUGACAAUUUUAUCCCAUAGGUCUCUUCUAAAACCUUUGUUAGGUUUGUCUUCACUCUUCGUGGUCUUUGACUUGCUAGUGAAGAAUGCCUUUAUUCACUGUCAAACUUGAUUGCCAUACUAAAAUAGGUUAGAACAAUGAGUUUUCUUUAUACCUCAAAACCCUUUUCAACUUACGGAUGCCAUGAAACCUUUUGGCAUUGGAUUGUAAUAUUCUGAUUUUAUUGUGUGGAUCUGCCUUACAUGCUUUAUCUUCAACAUUAUCCAUGAACAUACCGUCAAGAUCUGUGAUUAAGAUUGUGCUUUUAAGAAUGCUCUAACCUCAAAAAUCUUAAUGUCUUGAUGGCUGCUACCAUUUGACAGUGAUCUAUACUUCUAACUGACACCUUAGGACUGAUAUUUCUGUGUGUGCACUGUUGUAGCUUUUUAUACUUUUGAUAGUGACUAUCAUCAACUCACUGUGUACUUCUUAUGAGCUCAUGAGAGGCCUUUUGCCCUUGUUUAUUGCUCAAACUUAAGGAGCCUGCUGAUCAUUGAUCAUGGAUGCAUGAACCCUUUUGAUUGUAGUGCUUCACUUUGGUGUGACAUUUAUACCAUGAAUUCCAUCAAAAUGUUUUGUAACCUUAAAUCUCUGCCACUGUAUUUUAUUUUUUCAUUAUGAUGUGUAUCCUGCUACCAUGCUCUAUAUUUUGUAUUCUUGAUGGUGAUAUGGGUUAUGACAACUAUCUUUUGUAUCUCAUGGUCUUUAUGCCCAAUGGUUUGUCAUUUAGGCUCAGAUUGAGACUGUCUUUAUCCUCUUUAUCUUUGAUUAGACACUAUAUCAUUGUCGUGUAAUCUCAUUAGGGCUUUUUUACUAUUAUGUAUCACCAAACACUAAUAGUUGCUACUAUUAAAUCUGUAAGGGAUUCUCUUUUGAUGCAAUAUACUGUGAUCUAUGUCUCUUCACUUGAACUUCUUUCAACUGUAUUCACUGGACUGAGAUAUGUGAGCAAUGUCCUAAGGAAGACUGUGACUUUUAUUUUUUCCACUGCUCUGUGAUAAUACUACAACAGUGAGGUUUCUCUAGGAGAUCCUUGAAACUCAUGUAGCUUCUUCAAAAUUCCUAAAGACUGCUAUAUGCCUUCUUGUCUAUUCCAACUGAAUGAUACCAUAACAUCUUUACUUUUAUGAUUUCAUUCCCUUUGGUAUUGAAGAUUGAUUCGCCCCAUUUAUUAGGCAUGUAUUGACUAUAUUAGGGGAUUCUCUUCUUCUUGGACUGCUACUAUUUUAAGCCUUUCUCUUCUUUGGGAGUGAAUGCAAAAGACUGUAUCUCUACUCCUCUUCUCAUUGACUUAUCAUGACUGCAAUUAUGAUGCAUUCACUGCCUUUCUUUUCUAUUUAUUAUUUCUUUCUUCUGACUGUGAUUCACUAACUCAGACCUUCGGUGAUAUCCACUUACCAUGCACUAUAACUCUAUUGUUGAACCUUUUACUAUUAAAUCUAAUCUUUACUUAGAUUGCUUAUUGCUUAAAACUCUGUCAAAACUGUGUCUUUAACAGUCUUUAGAUCUACUCUUGGUCUUUGAUGCCCUUGUUCUGCAAUAUGAAGAUCUUGCCAUAUACUUUUCAUUGGUUGUCUCAUGAGCUUGAUAUCUGCUCUUUGGAUAGUAAAUGGUUGUUCCUAUCAGUCUACACUGUUAUUCUUUUCAUACUAUUAUGUAUCUUUAACCAUAUGAUCUUUUUAUGUUCUAAGAUAUUCUCAAGUCAAAAGAAUUGUACAUCUACUGUCAAAAUUAUAACACUUGACAUCCACUAUCAAAAUUAUAACACCAUGAAUAAAACAUGUCUAUUUUUAAUAGCUUAAACAUUCUUCCUUAAAGGUUAGCUUAGUUAUAAAGAGAGUACAUGUUUAAGGGGAAGAGUCUUCUCCCUCUACAAUUGGAAAUUUAACCUACCAAUCAAGAUAAUGUUGCAGCCCUUGGAAAUCUGUUGUAUUUGGCAAAUAUGGCUAUUUCAAUAUGCGGAAAGAACCAUACAAUAUUCUAAAUGAACAAUAGUCUAUAAAAAAGUGCAUAAUUCAGAAGAGGGGGCUUCUUUUGAGAAAUUAACAAAUAUUCAACUCUCAUUUUAGUGUUACUGGCAUUGAAAAAGCAGCCAAACAUAGCACAGAUAAAACCGUUUAGGCGUGAACCUACCAUCUUGACAGAAAACCUCAAGAGAAGUACAUAUUAGUUAGUAUAUAAUUUGUAAGAUAUCAUAGUUAAACUUUGACUUUACGCCAUGAGGUUUCUGAAGAGUCAAAUGAUCUCAGACCAUCAAAAAAGACAAGUGAGGGGAGUAUAAACUAAAUUAUCAAUCAUUUGUGAUGUAUGCUCUGUAGGGUAUCUCUAUGAUUAUCCCAGGUCUAAGAACAAGUGUUGGUCCUUGAAAAUACUGUCCUAUACAAAUGCUCCCAAUGAAUGCCUUUUGGUGGUAAUGUUGUUGUAGCUGCCUCAUAAGGCCUUUUGGGUAGCACAGGUACACAUGCAUUUAUUUUACAACAAACCAUAUGUUGGUUGCACUAUAACCUGCAUUUGAUGUCCUUUUGAUCUUCUACAACAGGCUUUGAUACAUAUUGAUGUGACUAUCUCUUAAAUGCUUUAUGGACUGUGCUUGUGUUGGUUGGUUUGUCAAAGCCUUUGUCCUUUGAAGAUGACUAUUAUUUGCCUUGCCUUGGGUGUAUGCUGAUAACCUGUAGCUUUGUUGUGCAAAAAUGAUUUAUUCUUCAUCUUGGCUGUUGAUAGUCCUUAUUGCUUGUGUAUCUUAUUAUUAAAAGCAAUGAUCAUUUAUAUUUGAGAAAUUCAGAUUUCUGUUUUUUGUUGUCCUUACAAAUGGUCCCUUCCUCUUGAAUCUUGAUUGUGAUCACUAUAUAAACAAUAUUUUUUUUUGCUUUACUAUGAGUUAUUAUUUACAAAAACAAAUUGGUUUUUUUUGUUUCAGGUUUGUUGGUAAUACUAUCUUAGUCUCUUUUGUAUCACUGUCUUAUUUUGUUUCCAUGAAUGCAUUUCCAUUCUUCAUUUUCACCUUCAUGAUGAAUAUUGACUACUUUGUUAUCAAAUGACUUAACUUUGAGACUAUAAUUUUGUCAAAAAUGUGGAUGCCCCUGUCCACCAUGCAUGGAGUUAAUAGUAUUGAAGGAUUUGGCUUGUGGUGAUAAGGCAACUAUGCGUUUUUUGUGAAGAUCUUGCUACCUUCUCCUGUAAAGAACCUUGUGGUCUCUAGGUUGGGAUAGUCACCUCUUUGUCAUUUACUGUACUUGAUGAUUUAGAUGCUUGCUACACCUAAAUGUAAGACAAAACCCUUGUUGUAUCUUUAUGGCAAUGAAUGUAAAUCUCUAUGUCAAUUCUUUAUUGUAUUUUUUGAGUUAUAUGACUGAUUUGGCCUGAACUUUUGACCUUUUUGAAUCUCAAUCUUUGCUAUGGACUGAGUUUACACUACCAUUUUCCAUGCUACUAUCCAUGCUCUAUAUUCAUAAUUGUCAUAGUCCAUAUGAUAUCUCUGUAAUUAUGUUUCCUUAGGCAUACCACGUGGGCUUUAGUCAUGGUAAAGACACCGGAUGGAUUUAUAUUGUCAAGUGCAUUGUAUUAACUGUACAGUACCCAUGAAGGAAAACUCUACUAGCCUUUUUCAAACCAUCAACAAUGCCGGUGAUGCUGACUAUUUGAUCCAUCUCAUCGAAGAUCUUCUAAACAGGUAAAAACAAGAAAAGACGUUUGAGGGAAGCACUAGUUCAGAAUCAGAGUGGACAUCCUUUAUCCAAAGUGGGUCUGAAUUCCUUGAAUUUGUGAAUAAGCAUAUUCAGCUGGAGAUGGUGGUUGUAUUUACAGGGAGAUGAAGGUAACAGAGAAGCUAUAGCACAAAUGUUGCAAAGUGUGGAGAAGGCACGCCAGAUGGUUGGAGGAUUAUCUCUUGUAGCCUUCUUGCUAGACCAGAUUGAAGACAUCCCUGAAAACCGGACUGAAUACAUUGAACUCUUAAGACAAAUGUUUAAGCUUGCUGGGUAUAUUAGAAGGAUGAGGUAUGAUAUGCCACAAGAAGAAAAUAUAUUGAAUGAGGCAAUUAUAUUGAUUGUUGAAGGAUCCAUGAUAUGCGCUUUGCAAAUAAAGUCUAGAACACUUUUCUGGUUUUUGAAGGGUUUUGUGAACCACGAAGGCUUGGGCACUGUAAAAUUGAAAAUAAAUCAGCUUCAUCAAGAUCUUACAUUGCGAGGGCUAAUAGAAAUACAAUAGAUCAGCAUCCUGUUGCUUUCUCUCCAUGGAAGCCUACUUAUCUAGAUCAUGCAGAGUGCUGGGUUGUUUUUUGUCGGGUACGGCAACAAUUCAGAGAAAUCUUUCUAGAAAUGGGAUUUGAAGAGAUGCCGACAAAUAACUUUGUUGAGAGUAGCAGUUGGCAUCCAAAAGCAGAACAAACAAUUAAUGAAUUUGCUAGACAUGGAAACAAAAACCAAGUCUCCAUUGACUGUAGUUAUUUAUGGAUUUGGCGGCAUAGGAAAGACCACCCUCGCCACCGCUGUUAUUGCUAACUUAGAUCUCACAAAUUACAACUAUUCAGGAGUUCAAAUGCAAGAAGACAGCUCUAGGAACGUCAUAAAAUGCAUGUAGCAGCAAAUAUUGAAAGAUGCCUUCCCAGCAUAUUAUGACAGAAAUUUAACAUUGAGAAAUAGUGCUCACAAAAUGCAUGCAGCAGCAAAUAUUGUUGGAGCUGAGGAGGUCACACAUCUGGAAGAGGUGGCUUUGUUCAAGACGUCCGACAAAGGCAACGUUAUUGUUCUUGAUAUCUUCCAAGCAAAAGGGCUGAGUAUGCCUGAAUCGAAUAGAAUAACUAAUAUGCAAUCCUGGCUCGAUGUUUUAUGCGAUAAUAAGAGGCUCGAUCAAAUUUAAAGGAAACUGGCUUACCAGGGAGGAGACUGAACCUGUGUACGAACUUGAUGAGAAGCCUCGCCUUGGGGAACAAGAUAAAUGUAUCACGGUCAAGCCAAAAGACACCCAAAUUUAAAGAACUAAGAGUUCUCAAACAAGGUGGCAACAUGUCUGGUUUCUGGCUAGUAAAUUUGGAGUGCCUUGAGUGGUUGGCUGUGUACUAUGGCCCUGUCUUUAAGGAUGUUCAUGUCUUAUUGAUCUGUUAAAAAAAUUCAUUGCCUUGCCCAAGUGAAAUGGGGCCAUGUAAGGUGUAUGUACUAUAUACUGAGCCAAAGCCUCCUCCAAGAUUGUAAGCUGCUAAAAAUGGAUUGUAAGAUGCUAAAAAUGGCUCUAUCUAGUCAUGUGAAGUUUGAUUC
Cryptomeria japonica (Japanese cedar) is the source of this 7349-nucleotide long non-coding RNA. RefSeq lists it as uncharacterized. The record is from RefSeq and is a predicted model, not a curated record. NCBI's taxonomy places the organism in Eukaryota, Viridiplantae, Streptophyta, Pinopsida, Cupressales, Cupressaceae. The transcript is spliced from 8 exons.